GAAACAGUUUUAAUUUUUCGUUGCAUAAGCAAAACAUCCCCAUAAAACAUUCACUUUUCAAAAAUCUUUAUAUACAAGUAACUGUGGAAGGUGGAGGAAAUAACUAAAAACACCGCCACUACCAACACAACAGCUCCUAACAGUAGGCCAGGUCAGGGUGCAGAAUUCAUGAAAACAAGCUGCUCACAUUCCCAGAACCACAACCCCCAGUGAGGAAUCUUGUCCUCUUUAACUUGCUGGGUGGCAGAGCCCGGAGGAAUUACUCAAACUAUGAAAAUCCCAAAGCAUGGUCACCUAGGGGGAAGUGAGGAGACAGAUAUGACUUGAGCAUGACAAUUAUUUUCUUAUAAUAACAGUAAAGAAAACAACCUUAAGUGGUAAAGGCUCUUUGAGCUCCAACUUAAACAAGUAGCUAAUGGUAUUUACCAAACCUAGCAUUUGUUAGCUAAGGCAGAACAUACACUGUACAUGUGCCUUUUUUCUUUCAAACAAUAUUCUUUAAUGCACUCACAUUUAUUGAUUAUAGAUACAUGCAAGUGGUAUAUAAAUAAUAAAACAUAGCAAACACCAGACAUACUGUUCUAGGUACCUUCAUGUAGUUUAUUUCACUUAAUUCUCACAAUAACCCUAUGAGGUUAUGAGAUCCAUUAUUAUUCAUGAUUUACAAAAGAAAAAAAAAAAGCUAAGUCAUAGGGAAGUUUAAUUAUUUGACCAAAAUCAUACAACUAGAAUGCAAAACUAGGUACUUUGUCUCCAGAGCUCUUGCUUUUAAUUUAGCUCUAGUUCUCUCGUGAAAUUGGAUUUUUAACCCCAUUAUCACAGAACUAUUCUUCCAAGACUGUAAAUUCUACUUCUCUGGGAACUUCCACCUCUUUGACUCACUUUUACCUUUGCCUCCCAAUUCCUUCUGGUUUCACCUGUUUUCCUGUACAACCUGGACCCCCUAGUCAUUUCAACUAUGCCCAAACUCCUUCCCAGGCCUCUCCUACACAGUCAAACCAAGGUGGUCACCUGUACCUGCCACCUUCGUCCCACCUCUGCACCCAGCAGUGAAGUACCACUGCUGAUGCAAUGAAGAGUUGUGCUGCCUCUUGGUCAGUGGGCCUUCCCUGCUGCUUGGCAGUCCUCUCUUGGGCAGUGCACAGCAUCCACUGCAGCUGUUCCAAACUUCUUCCAGGAUUAAAUCCCCCAAAGCACCUCGCUAGUCCUUUGUAGGUUAUCUUACCAUGGCUUUAUUUAAAAGUCAACCAAAAUAGGGCUGUCAGAUUAAGACACAGGAUGCCUGGUAACAUCUGAAUUUCAAAUAAAAAGGAAUCAUAUUUUGGGAUAAGUAUGUCCAAAAUAUUGUAUGAUAGAAAUAUUUAAAUAGUAUUUAAACUAAUAAAAAUAGCCAACUAUGUACUGAGAGCCUACCAAAGAUUGUAUGCAGGUACUUAAUACUAAAAACUUAUUCAUUGUUUAUCUGAAGUUUAAAAAAUUACUGGACAUCCUGUAUUUUAAUUUGCUAAAUAUAAUUCAGUCAAAUGCCCCUUCUUUCCAUUCCCAGAAGUACUGUUCCUUUUUUCAAAAGUUAAUUCUCUGACCUAUGGUAGUGAUCUUUCUUCUUCAUUUUCUUCUUCAUCCUACAAAUUCUUUAUACUUUUCAAGCAUGCUCCAGUCAUCCCUACCAUGGUAUUAAUGGUUCCACUUCUUCACCCCUUCAUGUCACUUUGUCAUUUCUCUAAAGAGGUGAAUUCUGUUUCCCUACCCCUUGAAUUUUACUUGGUCACAUAACCUGCUCUGGCCAACAGAAUGAGACAGAAGUGCCAGUGUGUCAGUUUGGAGUCUCGGCCUCAAGAAGCCUUAUAUGUUUCUGCUUACUACUUAAAACUCUUCUUCAGGACAAGAGAAACAAAACAAAACCAUCUGUAAAAAACAAAAACAGUAAUUUGAAAAGAUACAUUCACCCCAAUGUUCACAGUAGCACUAUUUACAAUAGCCGAGAUAUGGAAGUAACCUAAAUGUCCAUCAACAGAUGAAUGGACAAAGAGGGUGUGAAAUAUAUGCAUAUACAAUUACAAUAUAUAUAUACCAUUGUAUAUAUAUUUAUAUACACACAUAUAUAGAAUAUUACUCAGCCAUAAAAAAUGAAAUUUUCCCAUCUAUAGCAACAUGGAUGAACUUUAGCAUUACACUAAAUGAAAUAAGUCAGAGAAAGCACUUAUAUGUAGAAUCUAAAAAAAUCCAACAAACUGGUAAAUAGAGUAAAAAAAUAGAAGCAGACUCACACAUAUGGAGAACAAAUUAGUGGUUACCAGCGGGGACAAGGACAAGAGAGGGGUAAUAUAAGCAUAAGGACGUUAAAAGGUACAAACUAUUAUGUAUAAAAUAAGCAAUAAGAAUAUAUCAUACAACACAGGGAAUAUAAACAAUAAUUUAUAAUAAUUAUAAAUGGAGUAUGGCCUUUAAAUAUGUGAAUCACUAUACUGUUCACUUGUAAUGUAUAUUAUACUUCAAUUUUAAAAAAUGCUGCAAUGGAGUUCCUGUUGUGGCUCAGUGGUUAGCGAAUCUGACUGGAAUCCAUGAGGACAUGGGUUUGAUCCCUGGCCUUGCUCAGUGGGUUCGUUAACUGAUGAGCCACGACAGGAACUCCAUCAUUAUUCUGUUCUUAAUGGGUAAGUGUAUUUUAUGAAAGAGAGAAGCUGCCUCUAAAUUAUAAAUAACAGCUUGCAGUUACUGAGUGCUUAAUCAGUUCUGAGAUCUAACUCACUUAAAUUCUCUAAUUCAAUGCUCACAACAACACUGUGAGGUAGGAACUAGUUAUCAUCUAUAUGUAACAGAUGGGAAAACUGAGGGACAGAAAGUAAUUUGCCCAAAGUCACAGAGCUGGUAAUUAGGGAAACUGAGCCAUAGAGACUAAACUCUUAACCAGCAUGCUAUGCUGCUAUUCGAGAAAUGAACUAUACAUACAAACAUGCCCAUCACUGUUUCCUAUCCACACAGCACUGCUUUCCCUGCUACUUUAGGGAGAGAAAAGGCUGUGUUUUUAGAAAUUUGUAGGAUCAGAAAUGAUGGAAAGAGGAAGCUGGGAAAGCAAGAAUGAAAUGACUCAAAUGAGCUGGGCCUAACACCCUUGGCCCUGACUUAGAACAACUAGAGACUACUUAGAUUUACAAAGCCCUCUAAAAAGGGUAACUGUCCCUAGGAGUAAUUUCCCUUCAGUUAUCACUUCAUUCCAUAAUAUCUGAGACAUGCUCUUUUUGACUGAUCAAAUAUUAAUUUUAAAAGUAUUAGAAAUAUACCUUUUUGGAUGAGCUAGACACAAAACUACAAAGUAAAACAGGAAAGUAAGCACAAAAGCCAAGUUAGAGAGUCAGAGAGAGGGUAAUUAUAAUUGAAAUGAUUCAGUCUGGAAAUCCUGUUGUGGCUCAGCCAAAACGAAUCUGACUAGCAUCCAUGAGGACACGGGUUCGAUCCCUGGCCUUGCUCAGUAGGUUAAGGAUCUGGUAUUGCCAUGAGCUGUGGUGUAGGUCGCAGAUGAGGCUUGGAUCCUGAGUUGCUAUGGCUGUGGUAUAGACCAGCAGCUACAGCUCUGACUCAACCCCUAGCCUGGGAACCUUCAUAUGCCUCGGGUGCGGCCCUAAAAAGAUAAAAAAAAAAGAAAUGAUUCAGCCUAAUACUAAUUUUGGGUGUAUAAAGAAUUUAUAACAUAUAAUACAUCUUUGGCAUAUGGAGCAUGAGGUUUAGAUGGUAGAGACUAAUACAUUACAAGGAUAAACUUCCCUUCCGCACAGUACAGACAGAGAGUAAUCUACCCGAAGUUGGUGGUCCUGAAUUUACACUGUUAAAUGCCAAUCUGCACGGCACUUAUUUUUUCUAUCUGGGCACAAUGAGCAAUCUGGGAGCAGACAUCCAGUUAGAUCUUGUACUUCACCAGGUGAGUGAUAGCAGGGCAACAGGGCAAAAGGAGAUGUGGUUCCUGGUAAGAAAGUGGUAAUUUAAAAUAGAAUGUGGCUUGGAUAUGGCAUUGCUGUGGCUAUGGCAUAGGCCGUCAGCUGCAGCUCCAAUUCAGCCCCUAGCCUGGGAAUUCCCCUGUGCUGCAGGUUUGUGGUCCUAAAUUAAAUAAAUAAAUAAAAAUAGAAUAGAAUGCAGUGGAGAUGAAAGAAGUAAAGGCAGGAGCAGGCAGAUGGGAGAAAAAAGAGAAGUCUAUGGACUGGAGGUCUCAAGCCAGAGAAACCUGAGAAGGGUGAGAGGCUGAAGCAGAGGAGGGAAGAGCACUGGAAAUAAGAUGUCAGGGAACUGAGAAUGG
RNAcentral lists this long non-coding RNA (4288 nucleotides) under Sus scrofa (pig). RNAcentral's name for it is "lncRNA (ENSSSCG00050022843.1)". Lineage: Eukaryota; Metazoa; Chordata; Mammalia; Artiodactyla; Suidae. The record is from RNAcentral.